UGCCAUCUUUUUGUGAUCAGUCUUUGCAACUUUCUGGUCGUGUUUGAUAAAGUUGUCCAAAAAGUCUUUGCUCGUGAAAUUCUACAGUCCAAUCUCGCUCUCUGGCCAAACAGCAGUUUUCACUAUAGGUCUCAAUUAUGUUCAUAGAUGCCAUUGGUGAUGACCAAGUAAGGAGGAAAUGAAGCGGAAGAUGAAGAAGGUGGUAUUCGCGCCAUUUUCCUUAUUUCCUAGUUGGUAAUGCAAUUUGUCGUUUGCCUCAACUGAGUUGACAGCAAAAUGUGCUGAAAAUCUCAGAAAAUUGGAAGAGAAUGUCUUCAAAGUUCGAACAUAACAGAAGGAUUGGUGAGGAUUGCAACUACAACUGCUACCGGGAGCAGAAGAUGACGUAGUGGUGUCAGGAGGAAGGGGGGAAAUAGUAGCUACUCGAGGACAUCGAGUAUAAACCUGGAGAGUCCUUCUCAUGUGAACUCCGGUGCUGCCUCCUCUGUGGUAUACUGGGGUUUGUACCAAUAAAUUGUCGAUACUCCUUGCAAUAACCGUCGACGAUCGUGGUGUACAUGAUCACAUCUAGCUCCCAGCCUGUGUCUUCCAAAUUCUUCAGCAAUCGAACAGCUUUCCUAGUAUUGCCGGUUCUGCACAAUCCCUCACUAUGGCUCCACACGUGGUUAUAUCUACCUUGAUUCGUCUGGCCAACAUUUCAUCUGCCAAGCUCAAGGCUUCGGCAAUUCCACCCUCUCCAACAAAGCCCAUUUGAUCAAAGUGUUGAAGAAAUACUCCAUCGAUUCAUUCUCAUUAGUUUCACCAAUUUUGUGGUCUGAUGAGAUGUUUCUCCCAAACAGGUGGCAAUUGAAGAGAGAGGUGGUCAAUAUGCAAAAUUACGAUCUUAUACUGUUGUGAAAACAACUAAGAAAUCCACAUCUGAAACCAAAUCCUAUUGGAUCGAAAUCUCACACGGCAACGAUGGCGAACACCGGUGAAGUUGAAGUAUAACCUGUCAAAAUGAACAUGUCUACUCAUUGUCUGCAUAGAACAUACUUUU
Syzygium oleosum is the source of this 1039-nucleotide long non-coding RNA. RefSeq lists it as uncharacterized. The record is from RefSeq and is a predicted model, not a curated record. The transcript is spliced from 2 exons. Lineage: Eukaryota; Viridiplantae; Streptophyta; Magnoliopsida; Myrtales; Myrtaceae.